GGUUAAGUGACUAAGCGUACACGGUGGAUGCCUUGGCAGUCAGAGGCGAUGAAAGACGUAGUAACUUGCGAUAAGCCCAGAUUAGGUAGUAACAACCAUUUGAGUCUGGGAUUUCUGAAUGGGGAAACCCACGUGCAUAAGCACGUAUCCUUACCUGAAUACAUAGGGUAAGGAGGCGAACCGGGGGAACUGAAACAUCUAAGUACCCCGAGGAAAAGAAAUCAACCGAGAUUCCGAAAGUAGCGGCGAGCGAAAUUGGACUAGCCCUUAAGCUUUACACGCGUUAGACGAACGGUCUGGAAAGUCCGACGAUACAGGGUGAUAGUCCCGUAGUUGACGACGUGUGUUCAGUGAAAUCGAGUAGGGCGGGACACGUGAUAUCCUGUCUGAAUAUGGGGGGACCAUCCUCCAAGGCUAAAUACUACUGACUGACCGAUAGUGAACCAGUACCGUGAGGGAAAGGCGAAAAGAACCCCUGUGAGGGGAGUGAAAUAGAACCUGAAACCGUGUACGUACAAGCAGUAGGAGCAGGCUUUGUCCUGUGACUGCGUACCUUUUGUAUAAUGGGUCAGCGACUUAUAUUCAGUGGCAAGGUUAACCAUCUAGGGGAGCCGUAGGGAAACCGAGUCUUAACUGGGCGUUCAGUCUCUGGAUAUAGACCCGAAACCAGGUGAUCUAGCCAUGGGCAGGUUGAAGGUUGAGUAACAUCAACUGGAGGACCGAACCGACUAAUGUUGAAAAAUUAGCGGAUGACUUGUGGCUAGGGGUGAAAGGCCAAUCAAACCUGGAGAUAGCUGGUUCUCCCCGAAAGCUAUUUAGGUAGCGCCUCGGACGAAUACUACUGGGGGUAGAGCACUGUUAAGGCUAGGGGGUCAUCCCGACUUACCAACCCUUUGCAAACUCCGAAUACCAGUAAGUACUAUCCGGGAGACACACGGCGGGUGCUAACGUCCGUCGUGGAGAGGGAAACAACCCAGACCGCCAGCUAAGGUCCCAAAUUACUACUAAGUGGGAAACGAUGUGGGAAGGCUCAGACAGCCAGGAUGUUGGCUUAGAAGCAGCCAUCAUUUAAAGAAAGCGUAAUAGCUCACUGGUCGAGUCGGCCUGCGCGGAAGAUGUAACGGGGCUAAGUAGUAAACCGAAGCUGCGGCAAUGUGCUUUUUGCACAUUGGGUAGGGGAGCGUUCUGUAAGCGGUUGAAGGUGUGUGGUAACGCAUGCUGGACGUAUCAGAAGUGCGAAUGCUGACAUGAGUAACGAUAAAGGGGGUGAAAAACCUCCUCGCCGGAAGACCAAGGGUUCCUGUCCAACGUUAAUCGGGGCAGGGUAAGUCGACCCCUAAGGCGAGGCCGAAAGGCGUAGUCGAUGGGAAACGGGUUAAUAUUCCCGUACUUCUUACAAUUGCGAUGGGGGGACGGAGAAGGCUAGGUGGGCCUGGCGACGGUUGUCCAGGUUCAAGUGCGUAGGCUUAAGAGUUAGGUAAAUCCGGCUCUUUUUAAGGCUGAGACACGACGUCGAGCACCUACGGGUGUGAAGUCAUUGAUGCCAUGCUUCCAGGAAAAGCCUCUAAGCUUCAGAUUGUAAGGAAUCGUACCCCAAACCGACACAGGUGGUCGGGUAGAGAAUACCAAGGCGCUUGAGAGAACUCGGGUGAAGGAACUAGGCAAAAUGGUACCGUAACUUCGGGAGAAGGUACGCUCUUGAUGGUGAAGUCCCUCGCGGAUGGAGCUGACGAGAGUCGCAGAUACCAGGUGGCUGCAACUGUUUAUUAAAAACACAGCACUGUGCAAAAUCGUAAGAUGACGUAUACGGUGUGACGCCUGCCCGGUGCCGGAAGGUUAAUUGAUGGGGUUAGACUUCGGUCGAAGCUCUUGAUCGAAGCCCCGGUAAACGGCGGCCGUAACUAUAACGGUCCUAAGGUAGCGAAAUUCCUUGUCGGGUAAGUUCCGACCUGCACGAAUGGCGUAAUGAUGGCCACGCUGUCUCCACCCGAGACUCAGUGAAAUUGAAAUCGCUGUGAAGAUGCAGUGUACCCGCGGCUAGACGGAAAGACCCCGUGAACCUUUACUACAGCUUGGCACUGAACAUUGACCCUACAUGUGUAGGAUAGGUGGGAGGCUUUGAAGCACGUACGCCAGUAUGUGUGGAGCCGUCCUUGAAAUACCACCCUUGUAGUGUUGAUGUUCUAACGUCGACCCCUUAUCGGGGUUGCGGACAGUGCCUGGUGGGUAGUUUGACUGGGGCGGUCUCCUCCCAAAGAGUAACGGAGGAGCACGAAGGUGGGCUAAUCACGGUUGGACAUCGUGAGGUUAGUGCAAUGGCAUAAGCCCGCUUGACUGCGAGAAUGACAAUUCGAGCAGGUGCGAAAGCAGGUCAUAGUGAUCCGGUGGUUCUGAAUGGAAGGGCCAUCGCUCAACGGAUAAAAGGUACUCCGGGGAUAACAGGCUGAUACCGCCCAAGAGUUCAUAUCGACGGCGGUGUUUGGCACCUCGAUGUCGGCUCAUCACAUCCUGGGGCUGAAGUCGGUCCCAAGGGUAUGGCUGUUCGCCAUUUAAAGUGGUACGCGAGCUGGGUUUAGAACGUCGUGAGACAGUUCGGUCCCUAUCUGCCGUGGGCGUUGGAAGAUUGAAGGGGGCUGCUCCUAGUACGAGAGGACCGGAGUGGACGAACCUCUGGUGUUCGGGUUGUGUCGCCAGACGCAUUGCCCGGUAGCUAAGUUCGGAAUCGAUAACCGCUGAAAGCAUCUAAGCGGGAAGCGAGCCCUGAGAUGAGUCUUCCCUGAUACUUUAAGUAUCCUAAAGGGUUGUCGGAGACUACGACGUUGAUAGGUCAGGUGUGUAAGUGCUGUGAGGCAUUGAGCUAACUGAUACUAAUUGCCCGUGAGGCUUAACCAU
RNAcentral lists this ribosomal RNA (2892 nucleotides) under Vibrio parahaemolyticus. RNAcentral's name for it is "23S ribosomal RNA". It matches the Rfam family "Bacterial large subunit ribosomal RNA". The record is from RNAcentral. Lineage: Bacteria; Pseudomonadati; Pseudomonadota; Gammaproteobacteria; Vibrionales; Vibrionaceae.